UGGAGGCAGCAGUGGGGAAUAUUGGACAAUGGGCGCAAGCCUGAUCCAGCAAUGCCGCGUGAGUGAGGAAGGCCUUAGGGUUGUAAAGCUCUUUCGGCGGGGACGAUGAUGACGGUACCCGCAGAAGAAGCCCCGGCUAACUUCGUGCCAGCAGCCGCGGUAAUACGAAGGGGGCGAGCGUUGUUCGGAUUUACUGGGCGUAAAGGGCGCGCAGGCGGCCAGAUUUGUCAGGCGUGAAAGCCCCGGGCUUAACCUGGGAGGUGCGCUUGGGACGGUUUGGCUGGAGAUCGGGAGAGGAGCGUGGAAUUCCCAGUGUAGAGGUGAAAUUCGUAGAUAUUGGGAAGAACACCGGUGGCGAAGGCGGCGCUCUGGACCGAGACUGACGCUGAGGCGCGAAAGCGUGGGGAGCAAACAGGAUUAGAUACCCCGGUAGC
Molecule: ribosomal RNA, 434 nt
Filed under: uncultured bacterium
Lineage: Bacteria
Description: bacterial SSU rRNA
Rfam family: Bacterial small subunit ribosomal RNA
Source: RNAcentral